This 255-nucleotide ribosomal RNA is filed under the name uncultured bacterium. Its description in RNAcentral is "partial 16S ribosomal RNA". It matches the Rfam family "Bacterial small subunit ribosomal RNA", at positions 524 to 777 of the family's 1533-position model. The record is from RNAcentral.
UACGAAGGGGGCUAGCGUUGCUCGGAAUUACUGGGCGUAAAGCGCACGUAGGCGGUCUUUUAAGUCGGGGGUGGAAAUCCUGGAGCUCAACUCCAGAACUGCCUUCGAUACUGGAAGACUUGAGUCCGGGAGAGGUGAGUGGAACUGCGAGUGUAGAGGUGAAAUUCGUAGAUAUUCGCAAGAACACCAGUGGCGAAGGCGGCUCACUGGCCCGGUACUGACGCUGAGGUGCGAAAGCGUGGGGAGCAAACAGGG